GAUGAACGCUGGCGGCGUGCCUAAUACAUGCAAGUCGAGCGAACAGACUAGGAGCUUGCUCCUCUGACGUUAGCGGCGGACGGGUGAGUAACACGUGGAUAACCUACCUAUAAGACUGGGAUAACUUCGGGAAACCGGAGCUAAUACCGGAUAAUAUAUUGAACCGCAUGGUUCAAUAGUGAAAGACGGUUUUGCUGUCACUUAUAGAUGGAUCCGCGCCGCAUUAGCUAGUUGGUAAGGUAACGGCUUACCAAGGCAACGAUGCGUAGCCGACCUGAGAGGGUGAUAGGCCACACUGGAACUGAGACAAGGUCCAGACUCCUACGGGAGGCAGCAGUAGGGAAUCUUCCGCAAUGGGCGAAAGCUUGACGGAGCAACGCCGCGUGAGUGAUGAAGGUCUUCGGAUCGUAAAACUCUGUUAUUAGGGAAGAACAAAUGUGUAAGUAACUAUGCACGUCUUGACGGUACCUAAUCAGAAAGCCACGGCUAACUACGUG
This 497-nucleotide ribosomal RNA is filed under the name uncultured bacterium. Its description in RNAcentral is "partial 16S ribosomal RNA". It matches the Rfam family "Bacterial small subunit ribosomal RNA", at positions 28 to 507 of the family's 1533-position model. The record is from RNAcentral.